ACAGCUGUGUGGUGAUAGAGGCUGAAUACACACCUGCCUUCACAGGUGGGACAACAUCUGAUCCGGACUCCACAGGUCGGUCUCCUCUGAGCUACGUCAUGUGGGCUCUACGUAUGGGAGGACUGAUUCUAAUGAUUGUAAUCACCGUCGUUGUCAUCAGAAACAGAUGGAACAAAAAACCACUUGAUGACGACAAAGUCAAUAACGACGACGACGGCGUCCAGUAUGAAAACGUAGAAGCACCUCGUGCUGCUGCUCGACUGCCCAGAUCAACAGCUGCAGCUCAAUAGAAAGUCAAAUCCCAUCAAGCUUUCUACACCAGUGAUCGAGCUUUGAGUUAAAACGAUAUAUUUAGCAUACAUUACUCUCGCUUCUUACGCCUUCAGUGAUGGAAAGAAUUUCUGUCCAACAGUUUUCUGUGUGGCUUCAUAUCGUUCACAUCUGUCGUAUUGAUGGACAUCCAGAGAAAUGUCAUAAACUUUGCAGUUCUGCAGAUCUUUUUAGCCUCAUUUAGCGAACAGGUUUUUUGGCACAUGUACUCUGUGCUUCAGCCUCGACGCUCUCAACCCUUGUUUCCUCUACUUUAAAGCUGCUGGGCAGCAAACAGAGUUCACACGCUGGUCUGCUGGAUGUGUAAAUACAGAAGGCCACUACUUCCUUUGCUUUAUCCGCUGUACAAAAUAAAAUGUAUUUAAUAUGUCAAUGUGUUUUUCGACCUUAAAGUAGCGACAUAAAUUGAUAAAUUGAGCUCCAAAAGAUUUUGAAUUAUUGUACUGCUGUCGUUCUCUAUUUGAUCUCUGUUGAACUAAACACUUUCUUUUACUUCUUUUUUCUCAAAUAAAUGUGCUGAUACCUGAUAUCAGUCCUAUUAACCAUC
Long non-coding RNA from Anarrhichthys ocellatus (wolf-eel), 877 nucleotides. RefSeq lists it as uncharacterized. The transcript has 4 exons. Lineage: Eukaryota; Metazoa; Chordata; Actinopteri; Perciformes; Anarhichadidae. The record is from RefSeq and is a predicted model, not a curated record.